Molecule: ribosomal RNA, 422 nt
Filed under: uncultured bacterium
Lineage: Bacteria
Description: partial 16S ribosomal RNA
Rfam family: Bacterial small subunit ribosomal RNA
Source: RNAcentral
AUAUUGGACAAUGGGGGCAACCCUGAUCAAGCCAUGCCGCGUGUGUGAAGAAGGUNUUNNGAUUGNANAGCACUUUAAGUUGGNNNNNAGGGCUUUAGGNUAAUACCCUGAAGUUUUGACGUUACCAACCGAAUAAGAACCGGCUAACUCUGUGCCAGCAGCCGCGGGACUAAAGAGGUUGCAAGCGUCAAUCGGAAUUACUGGGCGUAAAGCGCGCGUAGGUGUUUCAGUAAGAUGGGUGUGAAAUCCCCGGGCUUAACCUGGGAACUGCUUUCAUAACUGCUGAGCUAGAGUACGGUAGAAGGUAGUGGAAUUUCCUGUGUAGCGGUGAAAUGCGUAGAUAUAGGAAGGAACACCAGUGGCGAAGGCGACUACCUGGACUGAUACUGACACUGAGGUGCGAAAGCGUGGUGAGCAAACAG